GCGUAAGCGCACGCAGGCGGUCUGUCAAGUCGGAUGUGAAAUCCCCGGCCUCUACCUGGGAACUGCAUUCGAAACUGGCAGGCUAGAGUCUCCGUAGAGGGGGGUAGAAUUCCAGGUGUAGCGGUGAAAUGCGUAGAGAUCUGGAGGAAUACCGGUGGCGAAGGCGGCCCCCUGGACAAAGACUGACGCUCAGGUGCGAAAGCGUGGGGAGCAAACAGGAUUAGAUACCCUGGUAGUCCACGCCGUAAACGAUGUCGAUUUGGAGGUUGUGCCCUUGACGCGUGCCUUCCGGAGCUAACGCGUUAAAUCGACCGCCUGGGGAGUACGGCCGCAAGGUUAAAACUCAAAUGAAUUGACGGGGGCCCGCACAAGCGGUGGAUCAUGUGGUUUAAUUCG
RNAcentral lists this ribosomal RNA (396 nucleotides) under Klebsiella pneumoniae. RNAcentral's name for it is "bacterial SSU rRNA". It matches the Rfam family "Bacterial small subunit ribosomal RNA", at positions 558 to 953 of the family's 1533-position model. The record is from RNAcentral. Lineage: Bacteria; Pseudomonadati; Pseudomonadota; Gammaproteobacteria; Enterobacterales; Enterobacteriaceae.